Molecule: ribosomal RNA, 597 nt
Filed under: Kocuria sp.
Lineage: Bacteria; Bacillati; Actinomycetota; Actinomycetes; Micrococcales; Micrococcaceae
Description: bacterial SSU rRNA
Rfam family: Bacterial small subunit ribosomal RNA
Source: RNAcentral
AGCUUGCUGGGGUGGAUGAGUGGCGAACGGGUGAGUAAUACGUGAGUAACCUGCCCUUGACUCUGGGAUAAGCCUGGGAAACCGGGUCUAAUACUGGAUACGACGUCCUACCGCAUGGUGGGGCGUGGAAAGGGUUUUACUGGUUUUGGAUGGGCUCACGGCCUAUCAGCUUGUUGGUGGGGUAAUGGCCUACCAAGGCGACGACGGGUAGCCGGCCUGAGAGGGUGACCGGCCACACUGGGACUGAGACACGGCCCAGACUCCUACGGGAGGCAGCAGUGGGGAAUAUUGCACAAUGGGCGGAAGCCUGAUGCAGCGACGCCGCGUGAGGGAUGACGGCCUUCGGGUUGUAAACCUCUUUCAGCAGGGAAGAAGCCACAAGUGACGGUACCUGCAGAAGAAGCGCCGGCUAACUACGUGCCAGCAGCCGCGGUAAUACGUAGGGCGCAAGCGUUGUCCGGAAUUAUUGGGCGUAAAGAGCUCGUAGGCGGUUUGUCGCGUCUGCUGUGAAAGCCCGGGGCUCAACCCCGGGUCUGCACUGUGUACAGGGAGACUAUAGUGCACUAGGGGAGACUGUGAUUCUUGGUGUAUCGCGGA